AGAGUUUGAUCCUGGCUCAGGACGAACGCUGGCGGCGCGCCUAACACAUGCAAGUCGAACGGAGCUUAGAGAGCUUGCUUUUUAAGCUUAGUGGCGAACGGGUGAGUAACGCGUGAGUAACCUGCCCUAGAGUGGGGGACAACAGUUGGAAACGACUGCUAAUACCGCAUAAGCCCACGGUGCCGCAUGGUACUGAGGGAAAAGGAUUUAUUCGCUUUAGGAUGGACUCGCGUCCAAUUAGCUAGUUGGUGAGGUAACGGCCACCAAGGCGACGAUUGGUAGCCGGACUGAGAGGUUGAACGGCCACAUUGGGACUGAGGCACGGCCCAGACUCCUACGGGAGGCA
RNAcentral lists this ribosomal RNA (346 nucleotides) under uncultured bacterium. RNAcentral describes it as "bacterial SSU rRNA". It matches the Rfam family "Bacterial small subunit ribosomal RNA", at positions 8 to 350 of the family's 1533-position model. The record is from RNAcentral.